AGUAACGCGUGGGAAUUUGCCCAAUAGUGGGGGAUAGCCCGGAGAAAUCCGGAUUAAUACCGCAUAAUCUCUAAGGAGUAAAGGUGGCCUCUUCUUGAAAGCUAUCGCUAUUGGAUAAGCCCGCGUCAGAUUAGCUAGUUGGUAGGGUAAAGGCCUACCAAGGCGACGAUCUGUAGCUGGUCUGAGAGGAUGAUCAGCCACACUGGGACUGAGACACGGCCCAGACUCC
This 229-nucleotide ribosomal RNA is filed under the name uncultured bacterium. RNAcentral's name for it is "partial 16S ribosomal RNA". It matches the Rfam family "Bacterial small subunit ribosomal RNA", at positions 109 to 339 of the family's 1533-position model. The record is from RNAcentral.